This 253-nucleotide ribosomal RNA is filed under the name uncultured bacterium. RNAcentral describes it as "partial 16S ribosomal RNA". It matches the Rfam family "Bacterial small subunit ribosomal RNA", at positions 524 to 776 of the family's 1533-position model. The record is from RNAcentral.
UACGGAGGGGACUAGCGUUGUUCGGAAUUACUGGGCGUAAAGCGCGCGUAGGCGGAUUUGCAAGUCGGGGGUGAAAGCCCGAGGCUCGACCUCGGAACUGCCCUCGAUACUGCAAAUCUCGAGUCCGAGAGAGGUGAGUGGAAUUCCUAGUGUAGAGGUGAAAUUCGUAGAUAUUAGGAAGAACACCAGUGGCGAAGGCGGCUCACUGGUCCGGUACUGACGCUGAGGUGCGAAAGCGUGGGGAGCAAACAGG